This 263-nucleotide ribosomal RNA is filed under the name uncultured Streptococcaceae bacterium. Its description in RNAcentral is "partial 16S ribosomal RNA". It matches the Rfam family "Bacterial small subunit ribosomal RNA", at positions 505 to 768 of the family's 1533-position model. Lineage: Bacteria; Bacillati; Bacillota; Bacilli; Lactobacillales; Streptococcaceae. The record is from RNAcentral.
GUGCCAGCAGCCGCGGUAAUACGUAGGUCCCGAGCGUUAUCCGGACUUAUUGGGCAUAAAGCGAGCGCAGGCGGUUAGAUAAGUCUGAAGUUAAAGGCUGUGGCUUAACCAUAGUACGCUUUGGAAACUGUUUAACUUGAGUGCAGAAGGGGAGAGUGGAAUUCCAUGUGUAGCGGUGAAACGCGUAGAUAUAUGGAGGAACACCGGUGGCGAAAGCGGCUCUCUGGUCUGUAACUGACGCUGAGGCUCGAAAGCGUGGGGAG